AGUUGCUUCAAGGCUAUUAAACAGACGAGAGUAAGCGGCUAGACGGGACGAGGAUGAUCUCCAUCAGUAGUAGUCGUGUAGUAGUUGUCAACGGCGGCUGGCCCAGUUGCAUGCAUAUGUUAUGAGCUUGCCUUUAUAUCGUUUUGCUGCUGGACAAUACAAUUCUCACAUUAUGUGUAGGAGCACCGUCUCGGAAGCAUACGCAUCUGGAGGUGGGAAUGAAGCACAAGCUCCUCAAGGAUGUUUCCAAAAUAAUAACUUCACAUCAACUGGCAUUCCGACAAGAAGUCUAGGAAUCUUUCUGCCAAAUCAAAAUCAGAGACGAAGGCUGAUUUGUCCUUAGUUCUUCUCAAAAAAGAGAGG
Molecule: non-coding RNA, 363 nt
Organism: Lolium perenne
Lineage: Eukaryota; Viridiplantae; Streptophyta; Magnoliopsida; Poales; Poaceae
Source: RefSeq, a predicted model, not a curated record